GACGAACGCUGGCGGCGUGCUUAACACAUGCAAGUCGAACGGAAAGGCCCUGCUUUUGUGGGGUGCUCGAGUGGCGAACGGGUGAGUAACACGUGAGUAACCUGCCCUUGACUUUGGGAUAACUUCAGGAAACUGGGGCUAAUACCGGAUAGGAGCUCCUGCUGCAUGGUGGGGGUUGGAAAGUUUCGGCGGUUGGGGAUGGACUCGCGGCUUAUCAGCUUGUUGGUGGGGUAGUGGCUUACCAAGGCUUUGACGGGUAGCCGGCAUGGGAGGGUGACCGGCCACCUUGGGACUGAGAUACGGCCCAGACUCCUACGGGAGGCAGAAGUGGGGAAUAUUGCACAAUGGGCGGAAGCCUGAUGCAGCAACGCCGCGUGCGGGAUGACGGCCUUCGGGUUGUAAACCGCUUUCGCCUGUGACGAAGCGUGAGUGACGGUAAUGGGUAAAGAAGCACCGGCUAACUACGUG
RNAcentral lists this ribosomal RNA (468 nucleotides) under uncultured bacterium. RNAcentral describes it as "partial 16S ribosomal RNA". It matches the Rfam family "Bacterial small subunit ribosomal RNA", at positions 28 to 507 of the family's 1533-position model. The record is from RNAcentral.